This 24-nucleotide non-coding RNA is filed under the name Mus musculus (house mouse). The record is from RNAcentral. Lineage: Eukaryota; Metazoa; Chordata; Mammalia; Rodentia; Muridae.
AUCCUUUGAAGGGCUGAAUUCUUG